RNAcentral lists this long non-coding RNA (590 nucleotides) under Gallus gallus (chicken). RNAcentral's name for it is "lncRNA (ENSGALG00010002042.1)". Lineage: Eukaryota; Metazoa; Chordata; Aves; Galliformes; Phasianidae. The record is from RNAcentral.
AAAGUAACCACGAUAGUUUGAGGAUGGAGCACUUCUUAUGUUAGAAUUCUAUAAAAUCAACCACUAAGACUGGUUGCUUCAGACUUGUAAUGUUUUGUAACCCCUACUGUUACUUCAAGAGAAGAAUUUCACCUCUGACCUAUGAAAUGGGGAAAGCAUCAGAGGAUAGGUAGAAAAUGAGAAAGAAACAUGAUAGAAGAACAAUUUUAACCUCCUAAUUCCUUUAUUCUAAAUGACUGUCUUUGAAGCAGAAAAUGGCAAUCCCUAUUCUUCAGAGUAUGAACAUGAAAUGGAAGAUAAAGUUAAGAGUAAGCAUCCAGGGAAAUGUAGCAGUCCCAAGGGACAGCCUUCACUCUUACAGAUCAUAAAACAACAACUGUCUUCAAAGACUGCAUCUUCUCUUGUGAUUUAUGCCUCCGGGGAUUAAAACUGCAUGGAGAUUACAUUCCCCAGCCAGGACAUAGCUGGGAAAAGCUGGUUCAGUGCUUCAUACUGUGGCAGUGUUAGGAGGCUGAGGAGACCUGUGGGAAGACAUGGAAGUAACACAUCUGCACUCUGAGGAUGAGUGACUGCCAGCUGUGUUUUACGUU